CCUACGGGAGGCAGCAGUGGGGAAUAUUGGACAAUGGGCGCAAGCCUGAUCCAGCCAUGCCGCGUGAGUAUGAAGGCCCUAGGGUUGUAAAGCUCUUUUGUGCGGGAAGAUAAUGACGGUACCGCAAGAAUAAGCCCCGGCAACUUCGUGCCAGCAGCCGCGGUAAUACGAAGGGGGCUAGCGUUGCUCGGAAUUACUGGGCGUAAAGGGUGCUAGGCGGGUCUUUAAGUCAGAGGUGAAAUCCUGGAGCUCAACUCCAGAACUGCCUUUGAUACUGAGGAUCUUAGUUCGGGAGAGGUGAGUGGAACUGCGAGUGUAGAGGUGAAAUUCGUAGAUAUUCGCAAGAACACCAGUGGCAAGGCGGCUCACUGGCCCGAUACUGACGCUGAGGCACGAAAGCGUGGGGAGCAAACAGGAUUAGAUACCCUGUAGUCCACGCCGUAAACGAUGAAUGCCAGCCGUUAGUGGGUUUACUCACUAGUGGCGCAGCUAACGCUUUAACAUUCCGCCUGGGGAGUACGGUCGCAAGAUUAAAACUCAAAGGAAUUGACGGA
This 554-nucleotide ribosomal RNA is filed under the name uncultured bacterium. RNAcentral's name for it is "bacterial SSU rRNA". It matches the Rfam family "Bacterial small subunit ribosomal RNA", at positions 338 to 917 of the family's 1533-position model. The record is from RNAcentral.